UGUUUUCCCCGCGGGAGCGAGUUCUCCUUCGAGCGUUGUUGCAGCCCGCGCGUGGAGUGGAGGUGGUCGGCCGCAUCGGAGGUGGCAAGAACUGUGGCGC
Molecule: ribosomal RNA, 100 nt
Filed under: Azadinium spinosum
Lineage: Eukaryota; Dinophyceae; Gonyaulacales; Amphidomataceae
Description: partial Archaeal large subunit ribosomal RNA
Source: RNAcentral